RNAcentral lists this ribosomal RNA (688 nucleotides) under uncultured soil bacterium. Its description in RNAcentral is "bacterial SSU rRNA". It matches the Rfam family "Bacterial small subunit ribosomal RNA", at positions 31 to 735 of the family's 1533-position model. The record is from RNAcentral.
UCACGCUGGCGGCGUGCCUAACACAUGCAAGUCGAACGAGAAAGUGGAGCAAUCCAUGUGUACAGUGGCGACCGGGUGAGUAACACGUGAUCAACCUACCCUCGAGUGGGGGAUAACUCCGGGAAACCGGAGCUAAUACCGCAUAACAUCUUCGGUCCACAUGAACUGAUGAUCAAAGGAGCAAUUCGCUUGAGGAGGGGGUCGCGGCUGAUUAGCUAGUUGGUAGGGUAAUGGCCUACCAAGGCUUAGAUCGGUAUCCGGCCUGAGAGGGCGCACGGACACACUGGAACUGAAACACGGUCCAGACUCCUACGGGAGGCAGCAGUGGGGAAUUUUGCGCAAUGGGGGAAACCCUGACGCAGCAACGCCGCGUGGAGGAUGAAGUCCCUUGGGACGUAAACUCCUUUCGACCGGGAAGAUACUGACGGUACCGGAUGAAGAAGCACCGGCUAACUCUGUGCCAGCAGCCGCGGUAAUACAGAGGGUGCGAGCGUUGUUCGGAAUUAUUGGGCGUAAAGGGCGCGUAGGCGGCGCGGUAAGUCACCUGUGAAAUCUCCUGGCUCAACUGGGAGCUUGCAGGCGAAACUGCCGUGCUGGAGUGUGGGAGAGGUGCGUGGAAUUCCUGGUGUAGCGGUGAAAUGCGUAGAUAUCAGGAGGAACACCUGUGGCGAAAGCGGCGCACUGGACC